UGGUGGAGUGAUUUGUCUGGUUAAUUCCGAUAACGAACGAGACCUUAACCUGCUAAAUAGUGCGGGCGACUUGCGUCGCUACGUUCUUCUUAGAGGGACUGACUACGAUUAGUGGUCGGAAGUUUGAGGCAAUAACA
Molecule: ribosomal RNA, 137 nt
Filed under: uncultured eukaryote
Lineage: Eukaryota
Description: partial 18S ribosomal RNA
Rfam family: Eukaryotic small subunit ribosomal RNA
Source: RNAcentral